Molecule: ribosomal RNA, 438 nt
Filed under: Novastoa bahamensis
Lineage: Eukaryota; Metazoa; Mollusca; Gastropoda; Littorinimorpha; Vermetidae
Description: partial 12S ribosomal RNA
Rfam family: Microsporidia small subunit ribosomal RNA
Source: RNAcentral
UCUUGAGUGUAAAUUUAGAGACCGGAGGACUACGAUUAAUACUUUUAAAACUCAAAAAGCUUGGCAGUACUGUAGACUAAUUAGGGGAACUUGUCCCAUAAUCGAUAAUCCACGUUGUACCUGACCUGAACUGGUUAAUCAGCUUAUAUACCGUCGUCGUCAGGUAACCCCUAAGGGAUAUAGCAGUCGGCUAGAGAACUAAUUAUUUCUCACGUCAGAUCAAGGUGUAGCUAAUGUUUAGGGGAGGAUGAGUUACAAUUAUGAGUUUUAAUUACGGAAUCCUUUAGGAAGCUUGUAGGAAGAAGGUGGACUUAAAAGUAAAUGAGGGUAUAUAAACUCAUUGAACCUAGCUCUGUAGUGUGUACAUAUCGCCCGUCACUCUCGCUGAAAAGUGAGAUAAGUCGUAACAUAGUAGGGGUAACGGAAGUUGUUCCUAAG